UCUGGCUCAGGAUGAACGCUAGCUACAGGCUUAACACAUGCAAGUCGAGGGGCAGCAUGAUCAAAGCUUGCUUUGAUUGAUGGCGACCGGCGCACGGGUGAGUAACGCGUAUCCAACCUUCCCUAUAGUAGUGGAUAGCCCGGCGAAAGUCGGAUUAAUACACUAUGUUGUAUUUAGAGGACAUCUGAAGAAUACCAAAGGCUUGCCGCUAUAGGAUGGGGAUGCGUCUGAUUAGAUAGUAGGCGGGGUAACGGCCCACCUAGUCGACGAUCAGUAGGGGUUCUGAGAGGAAGGUCCCCCACAUUGGAACUGAGACACGGUCCAAACUCCUACGGGAGGCAGCAGUGAGGAAUAUUGGUCAAUGGACGGGAGUCUGAACCAGCCAAGUAGCGUGCCAGGAUGACGGCCCUAUGGGUUGUAAACUGCUUUUAUACGGGGAUAAAGUGAGCCACGUGUGGCUUUUUGUAGGUACCGUAUGAAUAAGGACCGGCUAAUUCCGUGCCAGCAGCUGC
This 512-nucleotide ribosomal RNA is filed under the name uncultured bacterium. RNAcentral describes it as "bacterial SSU rRNA". It matches the Rfam family "Bacterial small subunit ribosomal RNA", at positions 18 to 518 of the family's 1533-position model. The record is from RNAcentral.